RNAcentral lists this ribosomal RNA (465 nucleotides) under uncultured bacterium. Its description in RNAcentral is "partial 16S ribosomal RNA". It matches the Rfam family "Bacterial small subunit ribosomal RNA", at positions 338 to 795 of the family's 1533-position model. The record is from RNAcentral.
CCUACGGGAGGCAGCAGUGGGGAAUAUUGCGCAAUGGGCGAAAGCCUGACGCAGCGACGCCGCGUGAGGGAUGAAGGUCUUCGGAUCGUAAACCUCUGUCAGCAGGGAAGAACGGUCACUGUGCUAAUCAGCAGUGAAUUGACGGUACCUGCAAAGGAAGCACCGGCUAACUCCGUGCCAGCAGCCGCGGUAAUACGGAGGGUGCGAGCGUAAAUAGGAAUUACUGGGCGUAAAGCGCUCGUAGGCGUUAUGUCAAGUCAAGGGUGAAAUCCCCGCGCUCAACGUGGGAACUGCCUUUGAAACUGACAAACUGGAGUGUGAGAGAGGAUAGUGGAAUACCAGGUGUAAGAGUGAGGUGCGUAGAUAUCUGGAGGAACAUCAGUGGCGAAGGCGACUAUCUGGCACAUAACUGACGCGGAGGAGCGAAAGCGUGGGUAGCAAACAGGAUUAGAUACCCGAGUAGUC